This 439-nucleotide ribosomal RNA is filed under the name uncultured bacterium. Its description in RNAcentral is "partial 16S ribosomal RNA". It matches the Rfam family "Bacterial small subunit ribosomal RNA", at positions 339 to 795 of the family's 1533-position model. The record is from RNAcentral.
CUACGGGUCGCUCCAGUGAGGAAUAUUGCACAAUGGGGGAAACCCUGAUGCAGCAACGCCGCGUGGAGGAUGACGCAUUUCGGUGUGUAAACUCCUUUUAUAUGUCAAGAAAAUGACGGUAGCAUAUGAAUAAGCACCGGCUAACUCCGUGCCAGCAGCCGCGGUAAUACGGAGGGUGCAAGCGUUAUUCGGAAUCACUGGGCGUAAAGGACGCGUAGGCGGGUUUGCAAGUCAGGUGUGAAAUCCUAUGGCUCAACCAUAGAACUGCACUUGAAACUGCGAACCUAGAGUAUGGAAGGGGCAGAUGGAAUUAGUGGUGUAGGGGUAAAAUCCGUAGAUAUCACUAGGAAUACCAAAAGCGAAGGCGAUCUGCUGGGACAUUACUGACGCUAAGGCGUGAAAGCGUGGGGAGCAAACAGGAUUAGAUACCCGCGUAGUC